Molecule: small nuclear RNA, 101 nt
Filed under: Sus scrofa (pig)
Lineage: Eukaryota; Metazoa; Chordata; Mammalia; Artiodactyla; Suidae
Also listed under: 1 other name
Source: RNAcentral
GUGCUCGCUUUGACAGCACAUAUAUUAAAGUUGGAAUGAUACAGGAAAAAUUGGCAUGGUGCAAGGAUAACAGGCAAAUUCAUGAAGCAUUCCAUAUUUUA